UACGAAGGGGGCGAGCGUUGUUCGGAAUUACUGGGCGUAAAGGGCGCGUAGGCGGCGACCCAAGUCAGAUGUGAAAGUCCUGGGCUUAACCUGGGGACUGCAUUUGAUACUGGGUUGCUUGAAUUCGGGAGAGGAUAGCGGAAUUCCCAGUGUAGAGGUGAAAUUCGUAGAUAUUGGGAAGAACACCGGUGGCGAAGGCGGCUAUCUGGACCAUUUCUGACGCUGAGACACGAAAGCGUGGGUAGCAAACAGG
This 253-nucleotide ribosomal RNA is filed under the name uncultured bacterium. Its description in RNAcentral is "partial 16S ribosomal RNA". It matches the Rfam family "Bacterial small subunit ribosomal RNA", at positions 524 to 776 of the family's 1533-position model. The record is from RNAcentral.